CCAAUAGCAUGACAUUGUAAAUAAGUUCAAAUAU
This 34-nucleotide small RNA is filed under the name Arabidopsis thaliana (thale cress). Its description in RNAcentral is "ATSL285300". The record is from RNAcentral. Lineage: Eukaryota; Viridiplantae; Streptophyta; Magnoliopsida; Brassicales; Brassicaceae.